UGUUCAGGCUCAGAGCAGUGGAGGUGUGGGGGCCCAGUCUGACCCUCUGGGAGCGACCUGUUAGGAAGUCCAGGAUCCAACUGCAGGUGGCUGAUGGGAGCGCAAGGUUUGCUAGCUUGGACACCAGACAUUUUUCCACUGU
Long non-coding RNA from Xiphophorus hellerii (green swordtail), 142 nucleotides. RefSeq lists it as uncharacterized. The transcript has 3 exons. Lineage: Eukaryota; Metazoa; Chordata; Actinopteri; Cyprinodontiformes; Poeciliidae. The record is from RefSeq and is a predicted model, not a curated record.